Molecule: ribosomal RNA, 429 nt
Filed under: Bacillota bacterium
Lineage: Bacteria; Bacillati; Bacillota
Description: Firmicutes bacterium partial 16S ribosomal RNA
Rfam family: Bacterial small subunit ribosomal RNA
Source: RNAcentral
UAGGGAAUCUUCGGCAAUGGACGGAAGUCUGACCGAGCAACGCCGCGUGAGUGAAGAAGGUUUUCGGAUCGUAAAGCUCUGUUGUUAGAGAAGAACGUUGGUAGGAGUGGAAAAUCUACCAAGUGACGGUAACUAACCAGAAAGGGACGGCUAACUACGUGUCAGCAGUCGCGGUAAUACGUAGGUUCCUAGCGAUGUCCGGAUAUAUUGGGCGUAAAGCGAGCGUAGGCGGUUCUUUAAGUCUGAAGUUAAAGGCAGUGGCUUUACCAUUGUACGCUUUGGAAACAAGAGGACUUGAGUGCAGAAGGGGAAAAUGGAAUUCCAUGUGUAGCGAUGUAAUGCGUAGAUAUAUGGAGGAACACCGGUGGCGAAAGCGGCUCUCUGGUCUGUAACAGACGCUGAGUCUCGAAAGCGUAGGUAGCGAACAGG